AUUGAACGCUGGCGGCAUGCUUUACACAUGCAAGUCGAGCGGCAGCGCGGGGCAACCUGGCGGCGAGCGGCGAACGGGUGAGGAAUGCAUCGGAACGUGUCCCGUAAUGGGGGAUAGCCCGGCGAAAGCCGGAUUAAUACCGCAUACGCUCUAAGGAGGAAAGCCGGGGAUCCUGCGAAGGACCUGGCGUUAUGGGGGCGGCCGAUGUCCGAUUAGCUAGUUGGUGGGGUAAAGGCUUACCAAGGCGACGAUCGGUAGCUGGUCUGAGAGGAUGAUCAGCCACACUGGGACUGAGACACGGCCCAGACUCCUACGGGAGGCAGCAGUGGGGAAUUUUGGACAAUGGGGGCAACCCUGAUCCAGCCAUGCCGCGUGCGGGAAGAAGGCCUUCGGGUUGUAAACCGCUUUUAGCCGGGAAGAAAAGGCCAGGGAUAACACCCCUGGUUCUUGACGGUACCGGCGGAAUAAGCACCGGCUAACUACGUGCCAGCAGCCGCGGUAAUACGUAGGGUGCGAGCGUUAAUCGGAAUUACUGGGCGUAAAGCGUGCGCAGGCGGUUCGUUAAGUUCGUUGUGAAAGCCCCGGGCUCAACCUGGGAACUGCAAUGGAAACUGGCGGGCUUGAGUGCGGCAGAGGGGGGU
RNAcentral lists this ribosomal RNA (641 nucleotides) under uncultured beta proteobacterium. RNAcentral's name for it is "bacterial SSU rRNA". It matches the Rfam family "Bacterial small subunit ribosomal RNA", at positions 28 to 662 of the family's 1533-position model. Lineage: Bacteria; Pseudomonadati; Pseudomonadota; Betaproteobacteria. The record is from RNAcentral.